Molecule: ribosomal RNA, 497 nt
Filed under: uncultured bacterium
Lineage: Bacteria
Description: partial 16S ribosomal RNA
Rfam family: Bacterial small subunit ribosomal RNA
Source: RNAcentral
GAUGAACGCUGGCGGCGUGCCUAAUACAUGCAAGUCGAGCGAACAGAUGAGGAGCUUGCUCCUCUGACGUUAGCGGCGGACGGGUGAGUAACACGUGGAUAACCUACCUAUAAGACUGGGAUAACUUCGGGAAACCGGAGCUAAUACCGGAUAAUAUAUUGAACCGCAUGGUUCAAUAGUGAAAGACGGUUUUGCUGUCACUUAUAGAUGGAUCCGCGCCGCAUUAGCUAGUUGGUAAGGUAACGGCUUACCAAGGCAACGAUGCGUAGCCGACCUGAGAGGGUGAUCGGCCACACUGGAACUGAGACACGGUCCAGACUCCUACGGGAGGCAGCAGUAGGGAAUCUUCCGCAAUGGGCGAAAGCCUGACGGAGCAACGCCGCGUGAGUGAUGAAGGUCUUCGGAUCGUAAAACUCUGUUAUUAGGGAAGAACAUAUGUGUAAGUAACUAUGCACGUCUUGACGGUACCUAAUCAGAAAGCCACGGCUAACUACGUG